AUGAGUUCUUCGUCAUCUUCAUCUGGCGACGAUGAACUCAUACUUGCAGCAUUCGCCGAGCGGGAGGAGGAAGAGAGGAAGAACGGUCGACGCCAUGGCGGUUCCAAGCAUGGACGUCAGUCAAUCGAUCGAGGAAGAGAUGCCGGAUUUCUUCUUCUGUGGGACGACUACUUCAAAGAAGUUCCUCGCUUUCCCGAACAUUUGUUUCGACGAAGGUUCGUAAUUAGUACACUUCUCUGCUUUGGUCCUUUUUUUCAUUUUCCCUGUCUCAUUUAA
Molecule: ribosomal RNA, 276 nt
Filed under: Triticum aestivum (bread wheat)
Lineage: Eukaryota; Viridiplantae; Streptophyta; Magnoliopsida; Poales; Poaceae
Description: partial small subunit ribosomal RNA
Source: RNAcentral